This 25-nucleotide non-coding RNA is filed under the name Drosophila melanogaster (fruit fly). Lineage: Eukaryota; Metazoa; Arthropoda; Insecta; Diptera; Drosophilidae. The record is from RNAcentral.
CACAUCGCUGAGGCCCACUGGCAGG